GUGCCAGCAGCGGCGGUAAUACGAAGGGGCUAGCGUUGCUCGGAAUGACUGGGCGUAAAGGGCGUGUAGGCGGUUUGUACAGUCAGAUGUGAAAUCCCCGGGCUUAACCUGGGAGCUGCAUUUGAUACGUGCAGACUAGAGUGUGAGAGAGGGUUGUGGAAUUCCCAGUGUAGAGGUGAAAUUCGUAGAUAUUGGGAAGAACACCGGUGGCGAAGGCGGCAACCUGGCUCAUUACUGACGCUGAGGCGCGAAAGCGUGGGAGCAAACAGGAUUAGAUACCCUGGUAAGUCCACGCUGUAAACGAUGUGUGCUAGAUGUUGGUAAACUUUGUUAUUCAGUGUCGCAGUUAAC
RNAcentral lists this ribosomal RNA (351 nucleotides) under uncultured Acetobacter sp. Its description in RNAcentral is "bacterial SSU rRNA". It matches the Rfam family "Bacterial small subunit ribosomal RNA", at positions 505 to 856 of the family's 1533-position model. The record is from RNAcentral. Lineage: Bacteria; Pseudomonadati; Pseudomonadota; Alphaproteobacteria; Acetobacterales; Acetobacteraceae.